UUUGUGACAUACCUACAACUGUUGCUUCGGCGGGUAGGCCGUCCCCUGAAAAGGACGCCUCCCGGCCCGGACCGGACCCCCCGUGGGGCCGGACUCGGCGCCCGCCGGAGGAUAACCAAACGCUAUUUUAACGACGUUUCUUCUGAGUGGCAUAAGCAAAAUAAUCAAAACUUUUAACAACGGAUCUCUUGGUUCUGGCAUCGAUGAAGAACGCAGCGAAAUGCGAUAAGUAAUGUGAAUUGCAGAAUUCAGUGAAUCAUCGAAUCUUUGAACGCACAUUGCGCCCGCCAGCAUUCUGGCGGGCAUGCCUGUUCGAGCGUCAUUUCAACCCUCAAGCUCUGCUUGGUGUUGGGGCUCUACGGUCGACGUAGGCCCUCAAAGGUAGUGGCGGACCCUCCCGGAGCCUCCUUUGCGUAGUAACAUUUCGUCUCGCACUGGGAUCCGGAGGGACUCUUGCCGUAAAACCCCCCAAUUUUUCAAGGUUGACCUCGGAUCAGGUAGGAAUACCCGCUGAACUUAAGCAUAUCAAUAAGCGGAGGAA
This 541-nucleotide ribosomal RNA is filed under the name fungal sp. TA305. RNAcentral's name for it is "eukaryotic LSU rRNA". The stretch from base 169 to 322 matches the Rfam family "5.8S ribosomal RNA". Lineage: Eukaryota; Fungi. The record is from RNAcentral.